This 451-nucleotide ribosomal RNA is filed under the name uncultured bacterium. Its description in RNAcentral is "SSU rRNA". It matches the Rfam family "Bacterial small subunit ribosomal RNA", at positions 26 to 518 of the family's 1533-position model. The record is from RNAcentral.
AGGAUGAACGCUGGCGGCGUGCCUAAUACAUGCAAGUCGAGCGGUAACACUUCGGGUGACGAGCGGCGGACGGCAGAGUAACGCGUAGGAACGUACCCCAAACUGAGGGAUAAGCCCGGGAAACCGGGUCUAAUACCGCAUAUUAUCUUCGGAUCAAAGCUUUAAGCGGUUUGGGAGCGGCCUGCGUAUGAUUAGCUUGUUGGUGAGGUAAAAGCUCACCAAGGCGACGAUCAUUAGCUGGUCUGAGAGGAUGAUCAGCCUGACUGGAACUGAGAACGGUCCAGACUCCUACGGGAGGCAGCAGUAGGGAAUUUUCGCAAUGGGCGAAAGCCUGACGGAGCGACGCCGCGUGCACGAGGAAGGUCUUCGGAUCGUAAAGUGCUGUCGAGGGGACGAUUAGUGACGGUACCCCUGGAGGAACGCCCCGGCUAACGUACGUGCCAGCAGCCGC